AAGACCUUGCACUUUUGGAGCGGCCGAUGUCUGAUUAGCUAGUUGGUGGGGUAAUGGCCUACCAAAGCUUCGAUCAGUAGCUGGUCUGAGAGGACGGCCAGCCACACUGGGACUGAGACACGGCCCAGACUCCUACGGGAGGCAGCAGUGGGGAAUUUUGGACAAUGGGCGCAAGCCUGAUCCAGCCAUGCCGCGUGAGUGAAGAAGGCCUUCGGGUUGUAAAGCUCUUUCAGCCGGGAAGAAAAGGUUGCGACUAAUAAUCGCAAUUCAUGACGGUACCGAAAGAAGAAGCACCGGCUAACUACGUGCCAGCAGCCGCGGUAAUACGUAGGGUGCGAGCGUUAAUCGGAAUUACUGGGCGUAAAGGGUGCGCAAGCGGUUUUGUAAGUCAGAUGUGAAAUCCCCGGGCUUAACCUGGGAACU
This 423-nucleotide ribosomal RNA is filed under the name uncultured bacterium. Its description in RNAcentral is "bacterial SSU rRNA". It matches the Rfam family "Bacterial small subunit ribosomal RNA", at positions 207 to 622 of the family's 1533-position model. The record is from RNAcentral.